RNAcentral lists this long non-coding RNA (213 nucleotides) under Elaeis guineensis (African oil palm). RNAcentral describes it as "long non-coding RNA (EGUI_LNC079064)". The record is from RNAcentral. Lineage: Eukaryota; Viridiplantae; Streptophyta; Magnoliopsida; Arecales; Arecaceae.
UAUUUUUUUUAAAAAAUAGUUUAUUCAAGAUGGUGGCAUCGAAAGAAUAAUUAAGCUCAAGGAGAAUGUCUCCCAAGAGCAACGAGCUAAAGAACCUGAGGAACCUAAUCAAUCAGAACCAGUCCUAACACAACCUCUUCCACCUCGUAGAUCGACUAGGGUUUCUCAUCCUCCUGAAAUGUAUUUAGGUACCAUACAAGAGAAUGUAGAGAA